UGGGGAAUUGUUCGCAAUGGGCGCAAGCCUGACGACGCAACGCCGCGUGGAGGAUGAAGGUCUUCGGAUUGUAAACUCCUGUUGAUCGGGACGAAAAGCUUCGACCUAACACGUCGAAGACUGACGGUACCGGUUGAGGAAGCCACGGCUAACUCUGUGCCAGCAGCCGCGGUAAUACAGAGGUGGCAAGCGUUGUUCGGAAUUACUGGGCGUAAAGGGCGCGUAGGCGGCCUUCUAAGUCGGACGUGAAAGCCCCAGGCUUAACCUGGGAACUGCGUCCGAUACUGGAAGGCUUGGAUUCGGGAGAGGGAUGUGGAAUUCCAGGUGUAGCGGUGAAAUGCGUAGAUAUCUGGAGGAACACCGGUGGCGAAGGCGGCAUCCUGGACCGAGAUCGACGCUGAGGCGCGAAAGCUAGGGGAGCAAACGGGAUUAGAUACCCCGGUAGUCCUAGCCCUAAACGAUGAGUGCUUGGUGUGGCGGGUAUCGAUCCCUGCCGUGCCGAAGCUAACG
RNAcentral lists this ribosomal RNA (510 nucleotides) under uncultured Acidobacteriota bacterium. RNAcentral's name for it is "bacterial SSU rRNA". It matches the Rfam family "Bacterial small subunit ribosomal RNA", at positions 355 to 857 of the family's 1533-position model. The record is from RNAcentral. Lineage: Bacteria; Pseudomonadati; Acidobacteriota.